GCCAGCAGCCAUAUCACCCUGCAACUCACAACUGGCAAACCACUGAAGCUAAGCGGGUGUGAGCCUGGUCAGUACCUGAAUAGGAGACCUCCUGGGAAAAACUAAGGUUGCUCCUGGAA
This 119-nucleotide ribosomal RNA is filed under the name Lepisosteus oculatus (spotted gar). The record is from RNAcentral. Lineage: Eukaryota; Metazoa; Chordata; Actinopteri; Semionotiformes; Lepisosteidae.